GCAAAUCACUUAAAGUGAGCGCGAGGCUCAAUCACAGCUCUGCCAAAAGUGUCCUGCCAGAUACCGAUGCCAGGACAUGGCGACACCAGGACGUCCAGGACAACCAGGCUGCUGGAGGAGGAGGAGAGAUGCCUGAGAUGGUAGUGCUGGAGUGGAGUCACCGUCGAAUGUCAGGAGUGUGUGGCAUCUUAUAAAUCGAUAUGAGUGUCUGUUGCACCCACACAGAUCCAGAGGAGUGGCAGGAACAAGGCCGGCAAGGAAGGCAGGGUGGGGGGAAAGGACAUGGCUGAAGUUCGAUCGUUACGGUGCAUGUUUUGGCUUCCACUGGGAGAAACAAAACUUCUGAUGAGAUAGUUGUGGAUUUCGUCACUGGAAUAAAGCCUCUUCAGAAUUGCAUUUCUGCGGAGAGUGCAAAUGGCUGCGAAGGCGGGUGGCGGCAUCGCGUCAUCUUGUCAAAUAUUUCGCGCUAAAUUAACACGACAGCGCGCCCAAAUGGAGUAAGAAGAUGUCAGCCGGGCCGAAAGGACGAAGGACGCAGGACGCAGGACAUGGGGGAACUAAGAGGUUGCAAGUAGCAAGUUGCAAGUUGCGAAAGCGAGUAGCACUGACUGACGGUCCUCAAAGGAGCAGCAGCAAAAAAAAAAAAAAAAAAGAAAAACUGAAACCCAUGAAGCUCAAGUGGUUGGAGUUUCCAGGUGUCAGUGUGAGAGUGCAUAAUUUGUUGGCUUUGUGCAACACCCCGGUAGCCCUUCUCCAUUCAGCUUCCUUGCCAUCCUGCUGAAGUAUCCGAAAGUCCUUUUGUGGCAAGAUGCAAGGAUGGACCGCAGCUUGGAAUGCCCUAGCAGGACACU
RNAcentral lists this small RNA (851 nucleotides) under Drosophila ananassae. Its description in RNAcentral is "GF26374". Lineage: Eukaryota; Metazoa; Arthropoda; Insecta; Diptera; Drosophilidae. The record is from RNAcentral.